This 413-nucleotide long non-coding RNA is filed under the name Vulpes vulpes (red fox). RNAcentral's name for it is "lncRNA (ENSVVUG00000010793.1)". Lineage: Eukaryota; Metazoa; Chordata; Mammalia; Carnivora; Canidae. The record is from RNAcentral.
GGAAAAAGGAGCCAGAUGCAGGACUCGAUCCCAGGAACCCGGGAUCACAACCUAAGCAGAAGGCAGAUACUCAACCACUGAGCCACCCAGGCAUCCCUUCCUUCCGGAAUUUAAUGUCUGCCAACUUCAAGAAAAACUAAGCUUAUUCUGACAUCAUCACUCUAAUAACUGGAAAAACCAAAAAGGCCUGGACACUUCUGGGUCACUUGGAAUGAAGGGCGACACCUAGGGGACAGUGGUGGGAUAAGUGGAAAGCCCAGCACCUGACCCUGUUAUGACCAGAUGAAACCAGCUGGAACUCUCUCCACAAGGAAGGUGCUAUUGUCAGCAUUUAAGAACACUAGUCCAAGUCACAUGGGGAAACCUCCCUGAAAGCUGUCCUGGCUAUCAGAGCUCAUGGCACUGGGCUUCAG